AGGCCCAGCUCGGCAGAGUACAU
This 23-nucleotide microRNA is filed under the name Monodelphis domestica (gray short-tailed opossum). RNAcentral's name for it is "mdo-miR-12395-3p". Lineage: Eukaryota; Metazoa; Chordata; Mammalia; Didelphimorphia; Didelphidae. The record is from miRBase by way of RNAcentral.